Molecule: transfer RNA, 67 nt
Filed under: Hierodula patellifera
Lineage: Eukaryota; Metazoa; Arthropoda; Insecta; Mantodea; Mantidae
Description: tRNA-Glu
Rfam family: tRNA
About the family: Transfer RNA (tRNA) molecules are approximately 80 nucleotides in length. Their secondary structure includes four short double-helical elements and three loops (D, anti-codon, and T loops). Further hydrogen bonds mediate the characteristic L-shaped molecular structure. tRNAs have two regions of fundamental functional importance: the anti-codon, which is responsible for specific mRNA codon recognition, and the 3' end, to which the tRNAs corresponding amino acid is attached (by aminoacyl-tRNA synthetases). tRNAs cope with the degeneracy of the genetic code in two manners: having more than one tRNA (with a specific anti-codon) for a particular amino acid; and 'wobble' base-pairing, i.e. permitting non-standard base-pairing at the 3rd anti-codon position.
Source: RNAcentral
AUUUAUAUAGUUUAAAGUAAAACAUUACAUUUUCAUUGUAAAAAUAAAAUUUAAAUUUUUAUAAAUU